CCAAUAGCGUAUAUUAAAGUUGUUGCAGUUAAAAAGCUCGUAGUUGAAUUUCGGGGUUAGUAGGUUGGUCAUGCCUCUGGUGUGUACUGGUCUCACUGAUUCCUCCUUCCUGACGAACCGUAAUGCCAUUAAUUUGGUGUUGCGGGAAAUUUGGACUGUUACUUUGAAAAAAUUAGAGUGUUUAAAGCAAGCUAACGCUUGAAUACAUUAGCAUGGAAUAAUGAAAUAGGACGUUCGAUCCUAUUUUGUUGGUUUCUAGGAUUGACGUAAUGAUUAAUAGGGAUAGUUGGGGGCAUUAGUAUUCAAUUGUCAGAGGUGAAAUUCUUGGAUUUAUUGAAGACUAACUACUGCGAAAGCAUUUGCCAAGGAUGUUUUCAUUAAUCAAGAACGAAAGUUAGGGGAUCGAAGACGAUCAGAUACCGUCGUAGUCUUAACCAUAAACUAUGCCGACUAGGGAUCGGAUGAUGUUAAUUUUUUAAUGACUCAUUCGGCGCCUUAUG
RNAcentral lists this ribosomal RNA (500 nucleotides) under uncultured Glomeromycotina. RNAcentral's name for it is "partial small subunit ribosomal RNA". It matches the Rfam family "Eukaryotic small subunit ribosomal RNA", at positions 591 to 1092 of the family's 1831-position model. The record is from RNAcentral. Lineage: Eukaryota; Fungi; Glomeromycota.